Molecule: ribosomal RNA, 403 nt
Filed under: uncultured bacterium
Lineage: Bacteria
Description: partial 16S ribosomal RNA
Rfam family: Bacterial small subunit ribosomal RNA
Source: RNAcentral
AUUGAACGCUGGCGGCAGGCCUAACACAUGCAAGUCGAGCGAGCGGCGGACGGGGGAGUAAUGUCUGGGGACUGCCCGAUGGAGGGGGAUAACUACUGGAAACGGUAGCUAAUACCGCAUACUAUCGGAUAACCCAUAUGGGAUUAGCUAGUAGGUGAGGUAAUGGCUCACCUAGGCGACGAGCCCUAGCUGGUCUGAGAGGAUGAUCAGCCACACUGGAACUGAGACACGGCCCAGACUCCUACGGAGGCAGCAGUGGGGAAUAUUGCACAAUGGGCGCAAGCAUGAUGCAGCCAUGCCGCGUGUGUGAAGAAGGCCUUAGGGUUGUAAAGUACUUUCAGGCGGGAGGCGUUACCGACAGAAGAAGCACCGGCUAACUCCGUGCCAGCAGCCGCGGUAAUAC